RNAcentral lists this ribosomal RNA (497 nucleotides) under uncultured bacterium. RNAcentral describes it as "partial 16S ribosomal RNA". It matches the Rfam family "Bacterial small subunit ribosomal RNA", at positions 28 to 507 of the family's 1533-position model. The record is from RNAcentral.
GAUGAACGCUGGCGGCGUGCCUAAUACAUGCAAGUCGAGCGAACAGAUGAGGAGCUUGCUCCUCUGACGUUAGCGGCGGACGGGUGAGUAACACGUGGAUAACCUACCUAUAAGACUGGGAUAACUUCGGGAAACCGGAGCUAAUACCGGAUAAUAUAUUGAACCGCAUGGUUCAAUAGUGAAAGACGGUUUUGCUGUCACUUAUAGAUGGAUCCGCGCCGCAUUAGCUAGUUGGUAAGGUAACGGCUUACCAAGGCAACGAUGCGUAGCCGACCUGAGAGGGUGAUCGGCCACACUGGAACUGAGACACGGUCCAGACUCCUACGGGAGGCAGCAGUAGGGAAUCUUCCGCAAUGGGCGAAAGCCUGACGGAGCAACGCCGCGUGAGUGAUGAAGGUCUUCGGAUCGUAAAACUCCGUUAUUAGGGAAGAACAAAUGUGUAAGUAACUAUGCACGUCCUGACGGUACCUAAUCAGAAAGCCACGGCUAACUACGUG